RNAcentral lists this long non-coding RNA (225 nucleotides) under Mytilus galloprovincialis (Mediterranean mussel). Lineage: Eukaryota; Metazoa; Mollusca; Bivalvia; Mytilida; Mytilidae. The record is from RNAcentral.
AAAACAGUUAAUAAUAUUUUGUUGUUAUUCAAAUAUUACAUAUACAAAUGUAGAUGUAAGAACAUAUUCCCCACAAAAUAUGGUGGGGUAGAAUAUUUAAAAUAUUGGAUUAAUAUAGAAAAAUACUCUGUAUGUUUCUUAACCCCUGUACAAAUAGUAAAAAUUGAUCAGAAAUGGCGUUUGUUAGAAGCAGCUUUUAUUUAAUUUAUUUGUUUAAUUACCAAA